GCUGUUCUAACGAGGGAGAGAGAAAAAGCCAGCGAUGAAAGGAACCGGGUGGCUGUGUUAGGAAAAGUACCCCUCACAGACUCACUCCGCAGACAAGACGGGAACCCAGCAGCAGCAGCCAUGUUGGACCUCCUGAUACUUCGGGGAAAGAGAGGGGGAGACGCGUGAGCCCAGCCUUUGCCGUUUUUUGGAACCAGAGCCAAAAGAGGCAGGAAGUUGUUUUACAAUAGCCUUACAGUAAUCUGCCACAAAUGGAAAAAGCCAAAUGCUGGUCGCAGAGUGGAGAAGGUGGCGGGACAGAGAGAGAGAGAAGCGGGGAGAGAGGAAAGGAGAGAAGGAGCAUAAAAAACUGAGACAGGCAGACACGUGAAUCAAAAGAAUAAUCAGUAUGAACUAAGAUGGAGGACUGGUCUGCCAUGUUGUUUUGUAGUCCUGUAGUACAUAAUUGUGUGUGUGUUUGUGUGUGUGUGUGUGUGUGUGUGCGCGCACAUUCACUCACACAGCAGGGUUUAGGGAGGGUGGAGCGCGUCACGAUGCAGGACUCAAGACGAUUCUAGGGUAAGGGAUACUUUAGACCCAAAAACACUCAACAAUCUUUUCCUAUUGGUUUUAAAUAUGAUACGUUUUUAGUCAGUACAGCCGUAGUUCCUGGGUUAUUUGGAUAAGCUAUCCUCUGCCUUUAUACCCAGGACAAAUCAGAACCACUCGUGUUUUCUGUGAAUUCACCAUCACAUUGUAAUCACAGCAGCUGUUUUUCUUCCAGAAAAGCAGUGAGGUCUCAUACAGAAUGGUUAUCAGGCUUUUGACUCCUUGACAAAAUAGCUGUAAGGGUCGUGCAAUGUUUAGCCCCUCGGAGUGAUCGAGUCAGGGCAGGCGGAGGAGGGUCUUGCUGUACUGUAACUCUACAAACCCUGCUCCUACCCUGCCACGUGCUACACUACAGUAUUAUACGCAAGUAGCUUAUGUUUUUAGUCUUCUCCAUGCUGCUUCCACGCUAGCUGCUGUGUCAUGCUAAAGAGUUUAUACUCUGUCUUUGAGUCGUGGCUGGCUGCAGAAUGUGAUCCAGACAGGCUGUUGCAGCUUGACGACAGAGAGAGCGCUAUAGUACUCUAAUGUACGGUACCAGAUAAGGUUAAUCAUUUAACCUGCUCUCAGAAGUGUUGCAUAUUUCAAGUUCCUUAUCCACUCUGAGUGUUUGUCUGUUGAUCUCUUUUCUCUCGCUUUUCUCCCUCUCUUUUCUCUUUUCUCUCUCUUUUCUCUCUCCUUCUCUCUCUUCUAUCUCUCUCCUUCUCUCUCUAUUUUCUCUCUCUUUUCUCUCUUAUUUCUGCUCUUCUCUGUAGUUGAUUGCCGGGGUGUAGUGUGUGCUAGUAUGGCGUGAGUGUGUGCACUGCGUCUGCGCACUGCUGGAGGAGUGGAUUUCUGUGUCAUUCUUCCUCCUCUACCCCCUCCCACCCUUGCCUGCUUUCCGCCCUCCCACUCUCUCUCCCCUCUCUCUCUUUCUCUCUCUCUCUUUCCCUCUCGGCCUCCAUCUCCCUUCCUUCAUUCUCUCUCCCUCCCUCUCAAGUGCAAAUACAGUUCCUUGCCGUGUUGGACGUGUGAUCAAGAAGUGUCUGGCUCUCGCGCUCCGCCGCACCUCCUAUUUCAUCAUCACUUGAGAUUUUCUCUCCUUCACUCUGCGCUUGCUAUCUCCUCUCCUCUAUCCUCGCUCCUCUUCUCUCUCCUCCUCUCCUCUCUCCUCCUCUCCUCUCUCCUCCUCUCUUCUCUCGCUCGCUCCCCUUCUCUCAGCUCCAGCUGCAUGCAAGGGAGAGACUCAGGCUCUGUGGGGAAGAAAAAAGAAAAAGAAAAGAAGUCUGCUGCUAUUCCUGCAGUCAGGGCCUCCCCACAGCCCGCCCUUCCACAGAGGGACAUUUUUUACUACUAGCUGGAUUUUAACCCUCUGCCUCCAACUAUCUGCACAGUGGCUCGGCAAAAACCUGGCAACAAGAUGCUUUUUUGGGGCCUUUUCAUAGUUUCGCGUGCCGAUUUUUGCGGCAGUUUGUAUCAUGUUGUUAUUUCUCCUAUAUGGUGUUAUUUUUUUAUCUGCAUUGUUACCCAGAGUUGUGUAUUUUUAUGUGAAAGAAUUUCUGUUGGCGUUUCUUUUAAAUAUCAUCUUAUUUUUGUCGUUGUUUUGUCGUUUUUGUCUCCCGCCACGUGAUGGGCCUUCUUCCUCCUGGAGAUGUGUGCGUACGGGCGCCAUUCCAUUUCUGCUGGGUUAAGCCCUCUUCUUCACACUCUUCCUCCUAGUGACUGUCUGUGGGUGACAAGCAGGAGAAUGUUCAGUCUCUGAGUGUGUUGCACAUCUGCGUGUUAAAGACAUGCUCUUUGUGAGCGCCAGAAACUCUCUCACCUAGAAGUACUGCACCUCCCUCUUCUUCCUUGCUUUCACUGUGUCUUUUCCUCUCGCACCCUCUCUUUCCCUCCCUUGUUCUCUCUCUCCCUCUCUUUUGAAUGAUAUGUUGGGCUGGAGCUCUUUCUGGGACAGGUGCCUCCCCCCCAAAAAAUGACAGAAUAAUGCUGAUUAUUUUAUUUUUUUCAGCGAAAACAUAAGAAGUGACCGUGAUUUUGUUGCACCGAUGCAUGAUUGAGUUAAGUAUUAUAACUGAUUUCAGGGGCUGAGACAGCUUGGGAAAUGGAGGUUUGAAUACUUACUGUAACUGCACUUAGUCUGGUAACGAACACAUUCGAGUUGGGAAGACAGAGGGAGGGAAGAAGGGAGGGAAGAAGGGAGGGAAGGGAGAGAGGGAGGGAGUGGGGUUCCUUUUUCAGACUGCUGAAUUAUUCAUGUGGGCAGCCAAGGCUGUGAUUGGACUGGUUGUGCUAUUUGCAUGCAUCAGACAUGCUGUUUGUCUGUUUGCUAACAUUCCUCAUUCAAAGACUUGUUAACUAGCAGACGGCUUAGCUGGAGCCUUCCAGACAGCCUCAUGGCCUCCUUUUGUUGCAGGCACGCCAGGCCUGGGCCCAGCCCAUGGCGGCCAGGCGAGGUAGCAGCGGCCGUGGGUCUUUGCUGGGCUACGAGAGGGACUGCCUGGAGAGUCACUGGGCCUGCCUGCCUAGCUGCUUUACCAGAGCUGCCAGGGACACAGAGGAUGAUGGCUUUCUGUUCUCCUCAACAGAUACUGUAUGUGGAUCCCGCAGGAAAAAAAGAGAAGAAGAGAGAACCUGCUUAGAAUUUCACCUCCGGAUUCGGAAUGUUUCGGAAUCGCCUCUACUGUGGAAUAUCUGUAGGCUGCAUGACUUAGGCCUCGGCCGAUGGUACAGGACUUUUAGCCAAGCAGAGAACCCCAUGGUCAGACAGAUGGCCCUAGCAGUAAGUAACAUAUUGUAAGCUAUUUUAUAUUAUAUCAUAUUGAAUAGAUUUGGAUUUGUUUAGUAUUUAUGACUGCCCCCAUCUUAAUUUGAAACAGCAAUUAGCAAGUGCAGGUGAUUGAAACACACACACAAACACACCGUACCUAAUCUUUAGAAUCCAUUGGGCCAACGAAGUUCAGCCUCAUAGUCGACCACCACUAUCUCUCUGCUGUGCCUGGAGCCAUUACAAAAUGGCCUCCACUCUCUGCCUCCAGCUCCUUGUAGCUCUCCCAUCCAUUUUGUGUGCUACUGUCAAAGUUGUCAGAUAGCAAGAUGAGAGGAGAGGGAGAGAGAGGGACAGUUCAAGUGAAGGGAUAGGUGAGGCUAGGCUAGAAAGGACGUAGAAAAGAGGAGGGCACUAGUCCAGAGUUUCUUUUUUGGGGGGGGGUAUUUCUUAUUGGAGGUUUAAUUGCUGACUGACUGACUAACUGCAUACAAACAAGCAGCGCCUAUGGAGCCUUCCCAGCUCCUCUUCUCGAAGAGCUGACCUUGGGCAGACGCCAUAAAUUGUUAUUUUCUAGUGGCCCAAAAUGUGCUACAGCCUGCAGUUGCCCCAGCCCGCUCUGUACCCCGCCCCGACUACCCCAGCAAGCCUGUGCCUGGCCCGGAAACACAACCUUCCUGUCAUGCUUUCAGUGCAGAAGAAUAGGAGCAGGGGCCGCUCUAGCUCUCUCCAACAUCCCUAACUGUUUCCCCUACUCCAGGCUACAGCCCCAGCCCAUGCCUAUGCCCUAGUUGUAGUUGCAGGCCCCAGCCCUAGCUCCAACCUCAACCCCAGCCCCAGUUCCAGCCCUAUGCCCCAUGCCCCAUCCUCAGCCAAGCCCCAAAUCCCAGCUCCAAACCUGACCCCAACCUCACCCCCAGUACAAGCCCUAUGCCCCAUCCUCAGCCAAGCCCCAAAUCCCAGCUCCAAACCUGACCCCAACCUCACCCCCAGUACAAGCCCCAUGUACUGCCUACAGCUCUAGAAGUCAGCACAUGCCAGGCAUUCGAUUACACAUGCAUAGGAUGUAUAGAUCCCAUGUUGCUUAGGCCUAAGACCACGGCUAUAGGGAACCACACACCCCCUUAUCUGAUCUCUCUAGUAAUGUGGGAAACAGCUUCAAAGACCCAUGGGGGCAAUACUUACGAACAUUAGAAAAAGUUUAAGUUCAAGGUUAAGUUUAAGCAUCAGCCAAUUAAAAUCGGCAACGUAGUUGGACGUCAUUAGCUGUUCCCGUUACAUAAGGUUGCACAUUUAGCCCUAGGCUAACCUCAGCAAGUGUCCGUAUCAAACCAAUUAAAAUCGUCAACGUAGUUGGACAUGGUCCAACAGCACUUUCUGAUAAUCAAAGCAACUCCAUCACAUUUGACUGACUGGUCAAAUAGCUCUUUGUGUAGAGUGCCUAGCUCCACGUAAUUGUCCAGAUUGUGGCAAGGGUUUGAAUCUCACAUUAGUUUUUUCCCCCUUUGAAAUGUAGAAUUACAUGUAUUGUGUUAGUGUGUUGAAAAUGGACACCCUACCGCCAACAGCUUGAAAAUGAAGAUUAAGAAUGAAUUUAAUAAGGAGCUACCUCGUUCUUCACUUUUGCAGACAAGCACACUGCUAUGGCCAAAUAAUCAUAUUGCAUAGGUUAUAUUACAUGGACAUGCACACCUAAAUGUAGGCCUAUAACCUUUUAUAUGCAUUUGUAUAAUGAUCUACUCUGUCACACACGUGUUAUUUGGUUCAAAGACAAGCAUUAAAUCGAAUCAAAUCAUCAAAUCAAAUGUUAUUGGUCACCUACAUAUGGUUAGCAGAUGUUAAUGCAAGUGUAGCGAAAUGUUUGUGCUUCUAGUUCCGACAGUGUAGUAAUAUCUAACAAGUAAUCUAACAAUUCCCCAACAACUACCUAAUACACACAAAUCUAAAGGGAUGGAAUAAGAAUAUGUACAUAUAAAUAUAUGGAUGAGCGAUGGCCGAGCGGCAUUGGCAAGAUGCAAUAGAUGGUAUAAGAUACAGUAUAUACAUAUGAGAUGAGUAAUGUAAGAUAUGUAAAUAUUAUUCAAGUGCCAUUGUUUAAAGUGACUAAUGAGUCUCUAUGUAGGCAGCAGCCUCUCUGAGUUAGUGAUUGCUGUUUAGCAGUCUGAUGGGCUUGAGAUAGAAGCUGUUUUUCAGUCUCUCGGUCCCAACUUUGAUGCACCUGUACUGAUCUCGCCUUCUGGAUGGUAGCGGGGUGAACAGGCAGUGGCUCGGGUGGUUGUUGUCCUUGAUGAUCUUUUUGGCCUUCCUGUGACAUAGUGUGCUGUAGGUGUCCUGCAGGGCAGGUAGUUUGCCCCCGGUGAUGCGUUGUGCAGACCGCACCACCCUCUGGAGAGCCUUGCGGUUGAGGGCAGUGCAGUUGCCGUACCAGGCGGUGAUACAGCCCGACAGGAUGCUCUCAAUUGUGCAUCUGUAAAAGUUUGUCAGGAUUUUAGGUGACAAGACAAAUUUCUUCAGCCUCCUGAGGUUGAAGAGGCGCUGCUGUGCCUUCUUCACCACACUGUCUGUGUGGGUGGACCAUUUCAGUUUGUCUGUGAUGUGUACGCCGAGGAACUUAAAACUUUCCACCUUCUCCACUCUGCUGUUUCCUGAAGUCCACGAUCGUCUCCUUUGUUUUGAUGACGUUGUUGUCCAUUUCAUGAGGAGCUUCUUGUCGGAGCAUCUUGCAGACCGACAAAUAGGCAACUGACACUGCUACAUAAAUAAUCAACGCUACUAUAGUAUAGGCUAUAUACAUAGACGUGUAGCCCUAUACUAAACUUGUAUAUGCAUUAAAAGCAAUGAACAGUGUUUUCCUUAACAUUAACAAAAAUGUUUAAAGCGAGGGGUCUCGAACCCACAGUUAUGUCAUAUUUGCAAAAACGUAACGUUAGCAGUGCUGCAUUCGUAACCAAGUGGAAAGUGGGAAUUUACCCCAAACGAAUGGAAAAAAAUCCACUUGAACAGCCCUACAACUGGUGAUUCCUUGUGGGAAACUUGUUUAUCAUCCUGAGCUUUUAUGGUUUACGCAGCUUGUUGGUCAUUAGCAAAUUGGCAUUUCUCAACGAGUUCAAAGCAAGUGAAUGCAUCCAACUGCUAUUUACGACUUCACAACUGGUGCAUUUCUGCCUCCCACUUGGUUACAAAUGAAGCAUAAUUAUCCUAGUCAAGGAUGCGACGAUCAUGCAAUAUUGGCACUCUACACUUGAGACAGACCAAGUGAAGAGGAACAAAAGUAAACCUUGAAUUUGGAGGUUUAAAUGUACCUCUCUGGUGGCGAUAUUGACCUAUUUUAAAAAAUGCCAUUGGUGUGUCAAGAAAAAGUGGGCAGUUUGUUACAGGAAAUAAUCACGGCCUCCGGGAUUUCUCUAAUGUUCGCAAGUAUGGCCCCAUUCAUCUAUGCUAAGACAACUGUGCAUCGUUCCUUCACUAGCAAUGUUAGCAAAUUCAGAUGGUGCUCUCUUUUUAGCAAUGUGGGAAUCUAUAGCCUAUAGGCUACUGCCCGCAUAGACUAGAGCCACAUAGACUAGAGCCACAUAGACUAGAGCCACAUAGACUGAAGCCACAUAGACUAGAGCCACAUAGACUAGAGCCACAUAGACUAGACAGAAGCCUGUGUUCGGCUGUUGAACACCCUUCAGACACACUCUCUUUGGGGACAGACAGUCUCACCACCGUACUAUAGCUCAAUUCUUUAAUCUGUUCUCGCUCUCUUUACUCUCCUUCCUCUAAUCUGCCCAUGGGCUCCAGUAUGACACAGAAUGGCCUCCAUAUUGUGUUUGUGGAAUUAAUUAUAAAUAUCGCAUUAACCAUGCCUUAUCUGUGUAUCAUCUAUCCAGAGACAUAAGCACCCAUUUCCCCAUGCAUCCAUACCCAGACCAGACCUUAUGGAAAUGAUACUGUGAAGCUGCCUUGCCUCUGGUGGGCCCGUGUCUUUAUGGUUACACAGAGCAGAUGGCCACGCAACAUGGUCACAUAUCUCACGCUAACACUCACUGGCACUGCCACAUGCACACACACACACGCACAUACAGCCAUGCACACACGCACAUACAGCCAUGCACGCACGCGCGCACACACACACACACACACACACACACACACACACACACACACACACACACACACACACACACACACACACACACACACACACACACACACACACACACACACAGGCCUGAAGAAAUAUCAAGUUGGACUCAAAAGGUUUUUAUUUUAUCUCUGAUAUGCAUUAGUCUGCUUUAUCAAUGCAUUUUAUGGUUGUCAUGUAUGACUAAUUAUACAGCUAGCUGGCAUUGAUAGCAAUGGUUUACAUGGCAGACCUUAUCCUGACAAAAGAUUGAACUGUACAAUAGUUAACUGUAGCUAACUCUGUGGUAGCUAACUGUCGGCUAUAGCUAACCAUAGCUAAUUGUAUAGAUAACUGUACAGUAGCUAACUGUAGCUAACUAUAUGGUAGCUAACUGUCGGCUAUAUCUAACCAUAGCUAAUUGUAUAGCUAACGGUACAGUACAGUAGAUAACUGUACAGUAGUAGCUAACUGUCCUAGCUGCUAGCCUGUUUGUCAAGGUUACUGUAUGUACUGUAGUACACCUCCUGUUUGUCCACUCUGCCAGCCAGUGGUCCAGUAAUGUUCAGAGCCAGGGAGAGAGAGCAGAGGAGAGGUAUGUGUCCCACCCUCUAUUAAUAGACCUACGACAGAUGCAGCUUUGUGUCGGCAGGGCACUCCGCAGCAGGCGCUAGCCUCGUCAGAUGGCCAGGGGCUGGGGCACCGUCAAACUGAAGGAGGCAGCCGGCAGGCAGAGGGGUGGACGUUUCAGAUCUGUUGACUUGUCUUAAUGGACAAGAGGCCCUCUGGGUCACCAGGAAGAUGCAUGGGUAAUAGGGUUAGGGUGUUAGCAUGGUGGCUUAUGGGAAGUAGUGGGACUGUGACCUUUACUGAGUGCAUGUCUAUGUGCAUGCUUGUGUCCGUGUGUGUGAUGAGAAGCAGCUGGAGGGUAAAGCUCCCUCCUCUGGGUGAUCCCAGCUGCAUGCCCUGUCGCUGCAAUGACUGAGGCCAUUGUUCUUCUACAAAGAUGAGGCUAGUGCUAGAUCAGCUAACUGGGGCUAGAUCAGCUACCUGGUGCUAGAUCAGCUAACUGGGGCUAGAUCAGCUAACUGGUGUGAGAUCAGCUAACUGGGGCUAGAUCAGCUACCUGGGGAUAGAUCAGCUACCUGGGGCUAGAUCAGCUAACUGGGGCUAGAUCAGCUAACUGGGGCUAGAUCAGCUAACUGGGGCUAGAUCAGCUAACUGGGGCUAGAUCAUCUAACUGGUGCGAGAUCAGCUAACUGGGGCUAGAUCAGCUAACUGGGGCUAGAUCAGCUAACUGGGGCUAGAUUAGCUAACUGGUGCGAGAUCAGCCACCUGGGGAUAGAUCAGCUAAUUGGUGCGAGAUCAGCUAACUGGGGCUAGAUCAGCUAACUGGGGCUAGAUCAGCUAAUUGGUGUGAGAUCAGCUAACUGGUGCGAGAUCAGCCACCUGGGGAUAGAUCAGCUAAUUGGUGCGAGAUCAGCUAACUGGGGCUAGAUCAGCUAACUGGGGCUAGAUCAGCUAACUGGGGCUAGAUCAGUUAACUGGGGCUAGAUCAGCUAACUGGGGCUAGAUCAGCUACCUGGUGUGAGAUCAGCUAAUUGGUGCGAGAUCAGCUAACUGGGGCUAGAUCAGCUAACUGGGGCUAGAUCAGCUAACUGGGGCUAAAUCAGCUAACUGGUGUGAGAUCAGCUAACUGGGGCUAGAUCAGCUACCUGGGGAUAGAUCAGCUACCUGGUGCUAGAUCAGCUACCUGGGGAUAGAUCAGCUACCUGGGGAUAGAUCAGCUACCUGGGGCUAGAUCAGCUACCUGGGGCUAGAUCAGCUACCUGGGGAUAGAUCAGCUACCUGGGGAUAGAUCAGCUACCUGGGGCUAGAUCAGCUAACUGGGGCUAGAUCAGCUAACUGGGGCUAUAUCAGCUAACUGGUGUUAGAUCAGCUACCUGGGGCUAGAUCAGCUAACUGGGGCUAGAUCAGCUAACUGGGGCUAGAUCAGCUAACUGGGCCUAGAUCAGCUACCUGGGGAUAGAUCAGCUACCUGGGGAUAGAUCAGCUAACUGGGGAUAGAUCAGCUACCUGGGGAUAGAUCAGCUACCUGGUGAUAGAUCAGCUACCUGGGGAUAGAUCAGCUACCUGGGGAUAGAUCAGCUACCUGGUGAUAGAUCAGCUACCUGGUGAUAGAUCAGCUACCUGGGGAUAGAUCAGCUACCGGGGGCUAGAUCAGCUACCUGGUGCGAGAUAACUGGUGCUAGAUCAGCUAAUUGGUGCGAGAUCAGCUAACUGGGGCUAGAUCAGCUAACUGGUGCGAGAUCAGCUAACUGGGGCGAGAUAACUGGGGCUAGAUCAGCUAACUGGGGCUAGAUCAGCUAACUUUGGUUAAUCCUACUUCCAUACAGGCCAUAUUAACUCUGGCUCUGGGUGUGAGGGUUAAGGAUUUGCUGGAUCGCUGGAUCGCACUUAUGUGAUUUUUCUAUCAUAUCGUCAACAUGUACAGACAGACACACAUUUACAGCACAACCAGGACGCCACACAAGGCCCAUAUCAGCACCAGAGGUUAUAGGGAGGUCAGCCUGUCUGACUUUGACCAGAACCCCCACCCCCCACCCAGUCAUGUGUAACUGGACCUGGCCUGGCAACCCCCUCCCAGUUCUCUGCUCUCCUCUCUCUGGGCUGGUAUAAAUAGAUGUCCAUGCCUGCUCCCUCCCUUAACCCAGGGGGCCAAGAAGCCAUUCUUCCCUUUUUAAACACUCUGACGUGUCUGUCUGGAUGCCUCCUGUCUGCACCUGGUUACCUCUCUGGACUACACACACACACACACACACACACCAAUAGACACACACACCCACACACACACACAAGCACACAAACACACACACACACAAACACACACACACACACACACAUUAGUCUACAGAAGCUCUGUGGCAAGGGGAGUGCAAACAGGGGUGUACGUUUGAGGAGAAGGGCUUUCGUUUUGACUGUAGAGACGCUGCCUGUCUUUAACCGACCAUGUAAAUGUCCCACUGGUGACCUGGCCUACACACUGAACUCUGUGUCCAGGCACUUCAUGCCCUCCAGCUCAGGUUUCCACACUAAACCGGUCAGUGAAAUUCAGCUUUAUUGUGCGAAUAUUGAUUGACAUACUGCAUGAAGACAUUCAUUCCAAAAGGCUAUAUCUCUUUUUGCAGAAAUGUUGGUAAAUUAGCUUUUAUGGUUUAAAAAACAUUUUGAAAGAGAUUAGUGCUUUUUUCACUAUCUAAUCAUGGCAUAGGGUUGUUCAAAGACAGACAUGUAUUUGUUAAAAAUCUAUCACUUGAUGGAUUCAUUUUAGAGAAACAAAUAAUAUAAUUUUUUUGCAAAACAUUAUAUCCGCCUCACUCUCAGAGAAAUAAGUAGUACUGCUGGGUUUUAGACAGUCAAAUGUAACAGAUGAAAAAGUAAUUAAAAACAGUAAUAUGAGAUCUGGAUUUAAAACAUUUACAUUUCACAGUUUAGUCAAAUGUAAGUCCAGAGCAAUUAACAGUAUGUGCAUUCAUCUAAAGAUAUCUAGGUGAGACAACCACAUAUCACAGUCAAAUAUACAGGAUACCUACAUUCCAUUCCAGCUGUUCCAGCACAAUGGAUAUAUAGCGUUUUGCAAAAAUACGUUAUAACAAUCAUACAAAUCUAAAAUCUAGGAAUUAAAAAUCGGAGAACAGUAAUAUUUUACACACAUGAAGAAACCCAUAAGUAAUAAUUUCUGAUGAAAAAACACAAAUGUGAGAAAUUUGUGGAUUUAGCAUUUUGGAAAUAAACUUCAUAUUGACUGUAGCGUUAAUGCUCAUUCACCUUGUCUUGGUGUACUGAUAGCAUUAUGGUGGACAGCUAAUGGAGGAGGCAGGUCUGUGAGCCUCUGCCUGUAGACUGACAGCUAAUGGAGGAGGCAGGUCUGUGAGCCUCUGCCUGUGGACAGACAGCUAAUGGAGGAGGAAGGUCUGUGAGCCUCUGCCUGUAGACAGACAGCUAAUGGAGGAGGCAGGUCUGUGAGCCUCUGCCUGUGGACAGACAGCUAAUGGAGGAGGAAGGUCUGUGAGCCUCUGCCUGUGGACAGACAGCUAAUGGAGGAGGAAGGUCUGUGAGCCUCUGCCUGUAGACAGACAGCUAAUGGAGGAGGCAGGUCUGUGAGCCUCUGCCUGUAGACAGACAGCUAAUGGAGGAGGCAGGUCUGUGAGCCUCUGCCUGUGGACAGACAGCUAAUGGAGGAGGAAGGUCUGUGAGCCUCUGCCUGUAGACAGACAGCUAAUGGAGGAGGCAGGUCUGUGAGCCUCUGCCUGUAGACAGACAGCUAAUGGAGGAGGCAGGUCUGUGAGCCUCUGCCUGUAGACAGACAGCCAAUGGAGGAGGCAGCAGGAGACAGAGGAGGGAUAUCAGUUACAGAUGCUCCAGUUAGGAGUGAACCAGUGUUUGCUGAGGUUGCAUUCUUUUAAAAAGACCCACUCUGGGCCUCCCAAGUGACACAGCAGUCUAAGGCACUGCAUCGCAGUGCUAGAAGCGUUACUACAGACACAGGUUCAUUCCCGGGCUGUGCUACAACCGGCCGUGGCCGGGAGUCCCAUAGGACGGCGUACAAUUGGCCCAGCAUCGUCCGGGUUAGGGGAGGGUUUGGCCGGUUGGGCUAUACUUGGCUCAUUGCACUCUAGCGCCUCCUUGUGGCGGGCUGGGUGCCUGCAGGCUGACCCCGGUCGCCAGUUGAACGGUGUUUCCUCGACACAUUGGUGCAGCUGGCUUUCGGGAUUAGCUGACAAGUGUUAAGGAGCGCGGUUAGCGGGGUCAUGUUUCGGCGGACGCAUGACUCCACCUUCGCCUCUCCCGAGACCGUUGGGGAGUUGCAGCGAAGAGACAACAUUUUAAAAUUGGGGAGAAAAAGGGGGAUAAAAUACAACAACAAAAUAAAAAUAAAAAAAGACAUUCUCUCUCUUCAGGUGACCCCGCUUCUGCUAAUCAGGGUGGUUUACAUUCUAUUGCAUGACCAUGUCUGGUGCUUUUGAGUAUGUGUGUGUGUGUGCGUUUGCGCUUGUGUGGGUGUGUUUGUGUGUGUGUGUGUGUGUGUGUGUGUGUGUGUGUGUGUGUGUGUGUGUGGGUGUGUGUGUGUGUGUGUGGGGGGGGGUGUGUAUGUGUGGGUAUGUUUGUGUGUGUGUGUGUGUGUGUGUGUGUGUGUGUGUGUGUGUGUGUGUGUGUGUGUGUGUGUGUGUGUGUGUGUGUGUGUGUGUGUGUGUGUGUGUGUGUGUGUGUGUGUGUGUGUGGGUGUGUGUACGUGUGGGUAUGUUUGUGUGUGUGUGUGUGUGUGUGUGUGUGUGUGUGUGUGUGUGUGUGUGUGUGUGUGUGUGUGUGUGUGUGUGUGUGUGUGUGGGUAUGUUUGUGGGUAUGUUUGUG
Molecule: long non-coding RNA, 12851 nt
Organism: Salvelinus fontinalis (brook trout)
Lineage: Eukaryota; Metazoa; Chordata; Actinopteri; Salmoniformes; Salmonidae
Exons: 3
Source: RefSeq, a predicted model, not a curated record